AAUUGGGAGCAGUUCUCCCUUUUCCCCCACGAAGCAGCCCUAUCGGGCGCCGCCACCCCUGACUCGCCGCCAGGCCCGCCCCUCCCUCGCCGGCUCGCCGCCUGCGCAGCCACACAACCGCACCACCCCGCGUCGCCACUCCCGCAUCCCACCGUCCCGCGCGAUCUCUACUGGCGCCUGGGAAGAGGGUACGCUGCCGCCUGGUUCAACUCCGACCUCGCUGUUCCAGUACAGCGCCGACCAAAAUUCCCUCCGGUUGACCAGUCCAAGAACAGCCAACCAGGACGACGAGGACGCUCGACGGUCACCUCCAGACCUCUACUCCAGACCAGGACAUUCGGCCGACGCUGGUAAGAUCUCUCUCUGCUGUUCUGCACCUCCCCAUUCUUCUAUCAAUUAUCAAUCUUGAACUACUGAACCGAACUGUGUUGUGUUUGCUGUCCUGAUGAAAGUUGUUGAUUGUGUUGUGCAUUUCUUUGUCAAAUUGCAGGCUUGCAACCGUAGGAUGGAUUUGUUGCUUGCUGCUUGAUUUAGAGAAUAUCAUGUAUAUGAAUUAGUCAACUAGACAUUAUCAUGUAGUUGCAGGUUACAAUUGUCAUGUUACUACUAAUUUUGUUAUCUAUUGGUUGGUGUAUCCUAAACAGUAAGAUGGAGUUGUUACAAAUUCUUAUUUAGGUUUUGCACUUUGUUGUCUAUUGCGUCAAUCACGUGGAAGAGUCAAGUCUAUUGCAUUAACUAAACAAUCAUAUUUGCUAUCCAGUACAUGAACACACAGUCAUGUGAAGACAUACACAUAAUUUGCUAUCCAGUACAUGAACAGUUAACCAGUGACAUAAUAAUGAUUUGUCUGAUUGUUUCCAUUCUAACAAGUUACUCUAACAAAGCCACUCUACGAAAGUAACAAGGACACAUGUCUUCUUUGCACUUCUCAGCAUAUUUAUUGUGUAUGCUUCUCUUAUACUCCCUCCGUUCCUAAAUAUAAGUCUUUCUAGAUAUUUCAAACGGACUACCACAUACGGAUGUAUAUAGACAUAUUUUAGAGUGUAGAUUCACUCAUUUUACUCCGUAUGUAGUCACUUGUUGAAAUAUAUAGAAAGAAAAAUAUUUAGGAACAGAGGGAGUACAAAAUUGAUCAUUUUAGUAUGCACGUAAGACCAUAUUGAUCUAUUUGGAUGUGCUAUUAUUAAAUUAAUUAGAAUGUUGGCAUCUCAUUUUUGUUAUCACAUUUUUUUGGUGGACCGCCCUGUUUUGAAAUCCUAGAGCCGCCACUGCAUUGUAGGUAGACAUGUUAUUUUUGUACCUUGUUGCUCAGCGCAGUUACUAUAUUUCUUUUUGUUACACAGUGUAUCAAUGGAUUUAGAAUCUAUAAAGGAGCUAUUGCUUUCUCCUAGACCAGGUGAGGAAUGCUUGGCUGGUGUAGCUAGUUUUCUUGACUUUGCGUACAUAGAGGACAAGUCAAAGGAUAAUUUGAAGGCACGGCUAGACCUGCAAGACAUGAAAAUCAUGCCAGAGCUACAUCCCAAAAAUAAACCUAAGGACAAGUAUUUUCUUCCUGCUGCUUCUUAUACCAUGUCAAAGAGACAGAAGCAACAGUAUUGCAAACUACUUCAUGAUAUAAAAGUUCCAAAUAGGUACUCGGAGAACUCAAAAAAAUAGAAGGAACAGUUUUGCAAAGUACGUCAUGAUAUAAAAGUUCCAGAUGGGUCCUCGGGGAACUCAAAAAUCCGAAGGAACAUUUUGCAAAGUACUUAAUGAUAUAAAGGUUCCAGAUGGGUAUUUGACGGAAUGAUAUAAAGCCAAUUUUUUUUCUUUAUUGCCUUUUAGUUUCUCGUUUAUAUUUUCCAUUGAUGCUGCCAUUGUGGUAACUGUUAGUACUUCAUCCUUAUGGUCCUGAGAGUUACUUGGUUGAGAAUAUUAUGCAAAAUUUCAUGCACGACUCAAAUAACUUAUUGUUAAGAGAUGUAGCAGUAGCUCUGUGCUUUGCCUCGUGCCUUUUACUUGUUUUCUAAAGCUCUAUGAGAUGUUGUGUUCUGCUUGUUUUCUGAAGCUAUAUGAGAUGGUAUUCCCCUCUUAAUAAAGAUACUUUUUUUUCCUGGAGCUUCCUUUUAUUAGAAACAAAUGUUGUUUUCCAGGUAUAUUUCACUCUAGCAUGAUACACGAUACUAUUUUUGCUGGCCCUCUUGUGUUUCUGUCUAGUUUGUAUGGUUAAGCAUGUCUGUGCUGAAUCAUACAUGUUAUUAUCUAUACCUGACAAAUAGGAACUUAGCGUUAACUAAGAAAUCUCAUGUUCUACAUAAAGCACUAAGUUAACAGUAUGUUAUAAUUACAGACCAUAUCUGAAUUGAAUAUAUCUUGACUCUUUUGACUAGUAAUGAACUUCUUCAGUGAAUCUUAUUUUUCAGGAAAUUUUGCCACUGGAGAUUAGAAGGAUUGUUCUAAAUUGGUGCAUGAAGCUAUGCGUUCUUUUAGCGGACAUUUAUAUAUGUCUGCAUAGUUCUUGCUCUUCAACCAUGAAGCUUGAAAAAACCCAAAAAUUGUUCUGAGUUAAACUUCAUGUAUGACGGAUUGUCACUGGAAAUAGAUAGAUACUUUUGUGAAUGAAGUAUUAUGUCUCAUUUACCAUCUUGUAAACUAAGCUUACAUUUGUUUGAAAUUGAUGUUUUUAGUCAAAACUUGGAUGUCCGAUUCAACGUUUUCUUCUCUGUUGUUG
Molecule: long non-coding RNA, 2710 nt
Filed under: Triticum aestivum (bread wheat)
Lineage: Eukaryota; Viridiplantae; Streptophyta; Magnoliopsida; Poales; Poaceae
Description: long non-coding RNA (TAES_LNC006909)
Source: RNAcentral